RNAcentral lists this ribosomal RNA (440 nucleotides) under uncultured bacterium. Its description in RNAcentral is "partial 16S ribosomal RNA". It matches the Rfam family "Bacterial small subunit ribosomal RNA", at positions 338 to 795 of the family's 1533-position model. The record is from RNAcentral.
CCUACGGGUGGCUGCAGUGGGGAAUAUUGCACAAUGGGGGAAACCCUGAUGCAGCGACGCCGCGUGAGUGAAGAAGUACUUCGUUACGUAAAGCUCUAUCAGCAGGGGAGAAAAUGACGGUACCUGAGUAAGAAGCUCCGGCUAACUAAGUGACAGAAGCGGCGGUAAUACGGAGGGGGCAAGCGUUAUCCGGAUUUACUGGGUGUAAAGGGAGCGUAGAUGGUGCGCAAAGUGUGGAGUGAAAUUCCGCAGCGUAACUGCGGAACUGCUAUGGACACUGGCGAACUAGAGUUCGGGAGGGGUAAGCGGAAUUCGUGGUGUAGCGGUGAAAUGCGUAGAUAUUAGGAAGAACUCCGAUGGCGAAGGCGGCUUACUGGACCGUAACUGACGUUGAUGCUCGAAAGCGUGGGGAUCAAACAGGAUUAGAUACCCGAGUAGUC